RNAcentral lists this ribosomal RNA (332 nucleotides) under uncultured bacterium. RNAcentral describes it as "bacterial SSU rRNA". It matches the Rfam family "Bacterial small subunit ribosomal RNA", at positions 568 to 898 of the family's 1533-position model. The record is from RNAcentral.
CGUGUAGGCGGUCGGUCAAGUCCGAUGUGAAAGCCCGGGGCUCACCCCCGGAAGUGCAUCGGAAACUAGCCGGCUGGAGCGCGAUAGAGGAGGGUGGAAUUCCUGGUGUAGCGGUGAAAUGCGUAGAUAUCAGGAGGAACACCGGCGGCGAAGGCGGCCCUCUGGAUCGUUGCUGACGCUGAGACGCGAAAGCGUGGGGAGCAAACAGGAUUAGAUACCCUGGUAGUCCACGCUGUAAACGAUGGGUACUAGGUGUUCGGGGUAUUGACCCCCUGAGUGCCGCAGCUAACGCAUUAAGUACCCCGCCUGGGGACUACGGCCGCAAGGUUAAA